Molecule: ribosomal RNA, 460 nt
Filed under: uncultured bacterium
Lineage: Bacteria
Description: partial 16S ribosomal RNA
Rfam family: Bacterial small subunit ribosomal RNA
Source: RNAcentral
CCUACGGUAGGCAGCAGUGAGGAAUAUUGGUCAAUGGACGAGAGUCUGAACCAGCCAAGUAUCGUGAAGGAUGACUGCCCUAUGGGUUGUAAACUUCUUUUAUAAAGGAAUAAAACGAGGCACGUGUGCCUCUUUGCAUGUACUUUAUGAAUAAGGAUCGGCUAACUCCUUGCCCGCAGCCGCGGUAAUACGGAGGAUCCGAGCGUUAUCCGGAUUUAUUGGGUUUAAAGGGAGCGUAGGUGGGAUGUUAAGUGAGCUGUGAAAGUUUGGGGCUCAACCGGAGAAUUGCAAUUGAUACUGGCAGUCUUGAGUACAGUUGAGGAAGGCGGAAUUCGUGGUGUAGCGGUGAAAUGCUUAGAUAUGACGAAGAACCCCGAUUGCGAAGGCAGCUUACUAAACUGUGACUGACAUUGAUGCUCGAAAGUGUGGGUAUCAAACAGGAGUAGAUACCCUGGUAGUC